This 133-nucleotide transfer RNA is filed under the name Caudoviricetes sp. RNAcentral's name for it is "tRNA-Ile". It matches the Rfam family "tRNA". From Rfam's summary of the family: Transfer RNA (tRNA) molecules are approximately 80 nucleotides in length. Their secondary structure includes four short double-helical elements and three loops (D, anti-codon, and T loops). Further hydrogen bonds mediate the characteristic L-shaped molecular structure. tRNAs have two regions of fundamental functional importance: the anti-codon, which is responsible for specific mRNA codon recognition, and the 3' end, to which the tRNAs corresponding amino acid is attached (by aminoacyl-tRNA synthetases). tRNAs cope with the degeneracy of the genetic code in two manners: having more than one tRNA (with a specific anti-codon) for a particular amino acid; and 'wobble' base-pairing, i.e. permitting non-standard base-pairing at the 3rd anti-codon position. Lineage: Duplodnaviria; Heunggongvirae; Uroviricota; Caudoviricetes. The record is from RNAcentral.
GGGGAUGUAUCUCAAUUGGUCAGAGGGCCCGACUUAUGUUUUAGUAGUUUAAAAGUAAAACUUUCAAUGCAAGUGCAAGACUUGUCUAAAACCCCAAAUCGGGAAGUUGAGUGUUCGAGUCACUCCAUUCCCA